AUUGAACGCUGGCGGCAUGCUUUACACAUGCAAGUCGAACGGUAACAGGGAGCUUGCUCCGCUGACGAGUGGCGAACGGGUGAGUAAUGCGUCGGAACGUGCCGAGUAGUGGGGGAUAACGCAGCGAAAGUUGUGCUAAUACCGCAUACGUACUGAGGUAGAAAGUGGGGGACCUUCGGGCCUCACGCUAUUCGAGCGGCCGACGUCUGAUUAGCUAGUAGGUGAGGUAAAGGCUCACCUAGGCGACGAUCAGUAGCGGGUCUGAGAGGAUGAUCCGCCACACUGGGACUGAGACACGGCCCAGACUCCUACGGGAGGCAGCAGUGGGGAAUCUUGGACAAUGGGCGAAAGCCUGAUCCAGCCAUGCCGCGUGCAGGAUGAAGGCCUUCGGGUUGUAAACUGCUUUUGUACGGAACGAAAAGGUUUGGCCUAAUAAGCUGAGCUCAUGACGGUACCGUAAGAAUAAGCACCGGCUAACUACGUGCCAGCCGCCGCGGUAA
RNAcentral lists this ribosomal RNA (500 nucleotides) under uncultured bacterium. RNAcentral describes it as "partial 16S ribosomal RNA". It matches the Rfam family "Bacterial small subunit ribosomal RNA", at positions 30 to 523 of the family's 1533-position model. The record is from RNAcentral.